Molecule: small nuclear RNA, 168 nt
Filed under: Echinops telfairi (small Madagascar hedgehog)
Lineage: Eukaryota; Metazoa; Chordata; Mammalia; Afrosoricida; Tenrecidae
Description: U1 spliceosomal RNA (ENSETEG00000022191.1)
Rfam family: U1 spliceosomal RNA
About the family: U1 is a small nuclear RNA (snRNA) component of the spliceosome (involved in pre-mRNA splicing). Its 5' end forms complementary base pairs with the 5' splice junction, thus defining the 5' donor site of an intron. There are significant differences in sequence and secondary structure between metazoan and yeast U1 snRNAs, the latter being much longer (568 nucleotides as compared to 164 nucleotides in human).
Source: RNAcentral
AUACUUACCUGGCAGGAGAGAUACCAUGAUUACAAAGGUGGUUUUCCCAGGGCGAGGCUUAUCCAUUGCACUUCCGGGUGUGCUGACCCCUGCCAUUUUCCCCAAAAUGUGGGAAACUCGACUGCAUAAUUUGUGGUAGUGGGGGGACUGCGUUCACGCUUCUUCCUC